Molecule: long non-coding RNA, 234 nt
Filed under: Nicotiana benthamiana
Lineage: Eukaryota; Viridiplantae; Streptophyta; Magnoliopsida; Solanales; Solanaceae
Description: long non-coding RNA (NBEN_LNC037327)
Source: RNAcentral
CUGGGAAAUCAUCUUUGUGCAUUAUCAUGUUAAUAUACACAGCACAUUAAUAAUAAUAAGAUGAAAUUAUUUGGUUCCUGACCCUGAACCAAUUGUAAGGGGAGAAUAUAAUAUACUCUCGUGUAUAACAUAUAUCAAAUUGAUACAGAUAACUUUGUUCUCAUAAGCAAUAAUUUAGCUAUUAAAUGGAAGCACUCAAUAAAUUAUUUUGCUAAACCAACUAUGAUGUAAACC